This 488-nucleotide ribosomal RNA is filed under the name uncultured Bacteroidota bacterium. RNAcentral describes it as "bacterial SSU rRNA". It matches the Rfam family "Bacterial small subunit ribosomal RNA", at positions 8 to 494 of the family's 1533-position model. The record is from RNAcentral. Lineage: Bacteria; Pseudomonadati; Bacteroidota.
AGAGUUUGAUCAUGGCUCAGGAUGAACGCUAGCGGCAGGCUUAACACAUGCAAGUCGAGGGGUAACAGGAGGUGCUUGCACUUCGCUGACGACCGGCGCACGGGUGCGUAACGCGUAUACAAUCUACCUUUUGCUGAGGGAUAGCCCAGAGAAAUUUGGAUUAAUACCUCAUGGUAUGUAGUAAUGGCAUCAUUAUUAUAUUAAAGGUUACGGCAAAAGAUGAGUAUGCGUUCUAUUAGCUAGAUGGUAAGGUAACGGCUUACCAUGGCGACGAUAGAUAGGGGCCCUGAGAGGGGGAUCCCCCACACUGGUACUGAGACACGGACCAGACUCCUACGGGAGGCAGCAGUGAGGAAUAUUGGACAAUGGGCGCAAGCCUGAUCCAGCCAUGCCGCGUGCAGGAAGACUGCCCUAUGGGUUGUAAACUGCUUUUAUACAGGAAGAAACACUCCCUCGUGAGGGAGCUGACGUACUUAAGAAUAAGAUCG